Long non-coding RNA from Pecten maximus, 915 nucleotides. RefSeq lists it as uncharacterized. The transcript has 2 exons. The record is from RefSeq and is a predicted model, not a curated record. NCBI's taxonomy places the organism in Eukaryota, Metazoa, Mollusca, Bivalvia, Pectinida, Pectinidae.
CAGGAAUUGUAUCACUUUAAAACUUUCAUGAGAACUGACUGGAUUGUGUGUUCUUGGUAUAUCUCUACUGUUUUGACAAUACAUAUAUCAGAAAUACCGUAGUAUUUGGAAAUAAUUCGCAAAAAUCUGUACAGAUGAAAUACACAGCGCUCCUAACGGUAAUAAGUGUUACCCUCUACCUGACGUGCACGUGCGUUAACGGCCGUGUCAUAGCCCGACGCCGGUUCGUCAUAGACCGACAUUUCGAGGAGAGCAGGUGUGCUUACGACCAGGACUACAACACCAUGUGUUACGGCUGUGGGCGACAGUUCAGCAGCAUGGAACUCUUCACACAGUGUUGUAACGAAGAAAGAGAAGUGGCGAGUUUCUGUAGUACAAUAUACGGAAGAAGGUGACGAUAAGUCACCGUCAAUACAAACAUAUGGGACAGUGCAAGAUUUUUAUGGCAAAAACAAAAAACAAAAAAAAACACACACACACACAAUUAUUAAAUAAGUGCGAUUUUGGAAAGGAAUAAUGGAUGACAUUUUAACUCAGCCUACUUCUCGUUGUGAAUGCGCAGAACUCUGUGACCAAGGGAUAGCAGAAUUAACUGUUUAUAUUCUUGCGCAUGAAUACAUUGAAGUAGAAAGGGGAAAUAUUCCCGGAGGACAUAAUCUCGUCUGACACGUGCAGCAUACGUGUAUGUUAUGUUAACAGAUAUUUGGUAUUGACUUGUAUUGAAGUGUUUCUUGAGAUAAAUACUUUAUGGAAUAACCGAAUCUGAAAACUUUUAUUUUCUUACGUGAAUCACAGGCGAGCGAGGACGUUUUGUAUGCUCGCUGUUAUCGUGACUGAACAUUGUUGGAAUGCCAUUGGAAAUGUGUUUUAUUUUAUUUUAUUUUAUACAUUAAAAUUAAGCUCGUUUUGAAUUUU